ACACAUGCAAGUCGAACGAGCGAGAGAGAGCUUGCUUUCUCGAGCGAGUGGCGAACGGGUGAGUAACGCGUGAGGAACCUGCCUCAAAGAGGGGGACAACAGUUGGAAACGACUGCUAAUACCGCAUAAGCCCACGGGUCGGCAUCGACCAGAGGGAAAAGGAGCAAUCCGCUUUGAGAUGGCCUCGCGUCCGAUUAGCUAGUUGGUGAGGUAACGGCCCACCAAGGCAACGAUCGGUAGCCGGACUGAGAGGUUGAACGGCCACAUUGGGACUGAGACACGGCCCAGACUCCUACGGGAGGCAGCAGUGGGGAAUAUUGCACAAUGGGGAAACCCUGAUGCAGCGACGCCGCGUGGAGGAAGAAGGUCUUCGGAUUGUAAACUCCUGUUGUUGGGGAAGAUAAUGACGGUACCCAACAAGGAAGUGACGGCUAACUACGUGCCAGCAGCCGCGGUAAAACGUAGGUCACAAGCGUUGUCCGGAAUUACUGGGUGUAAAGGGAGCGCAGGCGGGAAGACAAGUUGGAAGUGAAAUCUAUGGGCUCAACCCAUAAACUGCUUUCAAAACUGUUUUUCUUGAGUAGUGCAGAGGUAGGCGGAAUUCCCGGUGUAGCGGUGGAAUGCGUAGAUAUCGGGAGGAACACCAGUGGCGAAGGCGGCCUACUGGGCACCAACUGACGCUGAGGCUCGAAAGUGUGGGUAGCAAACAGGAUUAGAUACCCUGGUAGUCCACACCGUAAACGAUGAUUACUAGGUGUUGGAGGAUUGACCC
This 772-nucleotide ribosomal RNA is filed under the name uncultured bacterium. RNAcentral's name for it is "bacterial SSU rRNA". It matches the Rfam family "Bacterial small subunit ribosomal RNA", at positions 51 to 838 of the family's 1533-position model. The record is from RNAcentral.